GUGGGGAAUAUUGCACAAUGGGGGAAACCCUGAUGCAGCGACGCCGCGUGAGUGAAGAAGUAAUUCGUUAUGUAAAGCUCUAUCAGCAGGGAAGAAAAUGACGGUACCUGACUAAGAAGCCCCGGCUAACUACGUGCCAGCAGCCGCGGUAAUACGUAGGGGGCAAGCGUUAUCCGGAUUUACUGGGUGUAAAGGGAGCGUAGACGGAAGCGCAAGUCUGAUGUGAAAAUCCGGGGCCCAACCCCGGAACUGCAUUGGAAACUGUGAUUCUAGAGUGUCGGAGAGGCAAGUGGAAUUCCUGGUGUAGCGGUGAAAUGCGUAGAUAUCAGGAGGAACACCAGUGGCGAAGGCGGCUUGCUGGACGAUGACUGACGUUGAGGCUCGAAAGCGUGGGGAGCAAACAGGA
Molecule: ribosomal RNA, 406 nt
Filed under: uncultured bacterium
Lineage: Bacteria
Description: bacterial SSU rRNA
Rfam family: Bacterial small subunit ribosomal RNA
Source: RNAcentral